AGGGUAUGUCAGAUCCGCCACAAAUACAGAGAGUCCACUGUUCACAUUGACAGAGUCACAGAGAGUCCACUGUUCACAUUGACAGAGUCUCCCCUAUAUUUGCACGACGUCGUACAAGUACAAGAUACAACCACAACAUAUGAACAUCCAUAUUCAUUUACCAUUCAUAUUAACAUUCAUUUCAUCACAAAUAUUCAUAAGUUCACAUCUAUUAGUUUAAAACGUUUCCUACUCGGAAACUCGUUUUGAAAUACUAGGAACCAGGAAAAACCAGAAAAUUCUUUUUAAAAUCGUUUCCCACACGAAAUUUUUUUUUUUUAAAACACGCUAUCACGAGGGGUAGAAAACUAUUUUUAAUUCAUAAAACUCCGUAAACUUUAUUACAUUCAUAAAAAUCAUAUGAAUUCAAAUGAAAUAAACCACUGAACCAUAAAUAUUAUCUAAGUCAUUUAU
RNAcentral lists this long non-coding RNA (453 nucleotides) under Ananas comosus (pineapple). Its description in RNAcentral is "long non-coding RNA (ACOM_LNC021359)". The record is from RNAcentral. Lineage: Eukaryota; Viridiplantae; Streptophyta; Magnoliopsida; Poales; Bromeliaceae.